Molecule: ribosomal RNA, 492 nt
Filed under: uncultured bacterium
Lineage: Bacteria
Description: partial 16S ribosomal RNA
Rfam family: Bacterial small subunit ribosomal RNA
Source: RNAcentral
GAACGCUGGCGGCGUGCCUAAUACAUGCAAGUCGAGCGAACAGACGAGGAGCUUGCUCCUCUGACGUUAGCGGCGGACGGGUGAGUAACACGUGGAUAACCUACCUAUAAGACUGGGAUAACUUCGGGAAACCGGAGCUAAUACCGGAUAAUAUAUUGAACCGCAUGGUUCAAUAGUGAAAGACGGUUUUGCUGUCACUUAUAGAUGGAUCCGCGCCGCAUUAGCUAGUUGGUAAGGUAACGGCUUACCAAGGCAACGAUGCGUAGCCGACCUGAGAGGGUGAUCGGCCACACUGGAACUGAGACACGGUCCAGACUCCUACGGGAGGCAGCAGUAGGGAAUCUUCCGCAAUGGGCGAAAGCCUGACGGAGCAACGCCGCGUGAGUGAUGAAGGUCUUCGGAUCGUAAAACUCUGUUAUUAGGGAAGAACAAAUGUGUAAGUAACUAUGCACGUCUUGACGGUACCUAAUCAGAAAGCCACGGCUAACUACG